Molecule: ribosomal RNA, 777 nt
Filed under: uncultured Neocallimastigales
Lineage: Eukaryota; Fungi; Neocallimastigomycota; Neocallimastigomycetes; Neocallimastigales
Description: partial large subunit ribosomal RNA
Rfam family: Eukaryotic large subunit ribosomal RNA
Source: RNAcentral
CACGCACACACGCGCGGCAUAUCAAUAAGCGGAGGAAAAGAAACUAACAAGGAUUCCCUUAGUAACGGCGAGUGAAGCGGGAAGAGCUCAAAUUUGAAAUCUUCAAGGUUCUACCUUGACGAAUUGUAGUUUAUAAGAAGUGUUUUCUGUUAGUGGAGUGGCAAAAGUUCUUUGGAAUAGGACAUCAUAGAGGGUGAGAAUCCCGUAUUUGGUCAUUCCUCCUAGCUUUGUGAUACACUUUCAACGAGUCGGAUUGUUUGGGAAUGCAGUCCAAAAUGGGUGGUAAAUUUCAUCUAAAGCUAAAUAUUGGCGAGAGACCGAUAGCGAACAAGUACCGUGAGGGAAAGAUGAAAAGAACUUUGAAAAGAGAGUUAAACAGUACGUGAAAUUGUCAAAAGGGAAGCGUUUGACACCAGUGUUGUUUUUCCGAAAAUCAAUUACGAAUGUUUUGUUUUUGAGGAGUUAUGACUUCAUCGGCUUGCUCCUUUCUUUACGAAACUUUCUUAAUGCACUUUUCGGUUAACAAGUCAACAUCAAUUUCUUUUGUUGUAAAAGGGUAUGAGGAAGGUGGCUUUCUUUUCGGAGAAAGUGUUUAUAGCCCUUAUACCUCUACAAUCGGAGAGAUUGAGGUCUGCAGCGUAGAUCCUUCGGGGUUAGAUACAUUUGUGCUAAGUUAUAGCUUUUUAUAGACAACUUGUUGACUAUAUUUAGUCUUGUAGCUUACUCGCUUAUGCUAAUUUUACCUACGCUUAGGAUGUUGAUAGUCACAGCGUGUAC